Long non-coding RNA from Pieris rapae (cabbage white), 585 nucleotides. RefSeq lists it as uncharacterized. The transcript is spliced from 2 exons. NCBI's taxonomy places the organism in Eukaryota, Metazoa, Arthropoda, Insecta, Lepidoptera, Pieridae. The record is from RefSeq and is a predicted model, not a curated record.
AUGUCGUAUUAAGUAUAUAAUUACCUGUUAUUACUACUUCAAUAGGGUCUCAUGACAAAUCGAUUCUAUCAAUUCGCACAUGUUUCAAUCACACGCUUAGUAAUUUAACAUUAACGUAUAUUGUGUCGAUUAUAUAAAAACCCAGUUAAUAAACGUAAAAAUAUUAUAUGCAUAUAGAACAGGAAAUAUGAAAGUCAUAAUUUUGUGUGUGGCAAUUUCAUCUCUGGUUUUAUCAAGCGCAAAUAGAAAUAACUAUGGAUUUUUAUGUUCCUGCGCACCGGGGCCACUGCUAUGCGCAAGUGACUUUCAAACCUACGCCGGCGCUUGUAACAUGAGAUGCGCGUCCAUUAAUAAGGGAAUAGAACUGUACAUUUUACACUACGGCAGUUGUGAAGUCUACUACAAUAAUUUAAUUUCGAAAAAAUAUCCUCAAGUACAACCUUUCUCUACGCCAGGCGUAAAACCAUGAUUGUAAAAUAAAGUAUCACCAAAUUAUUAAAGACAAUAAAAUGACUACGUUUGUGUUAUAUUCGGUCGUAUUUUAUUCAAAAACUUUAUUGUAAAAAUAUAUAAUUAUAAAAUCUG